This 253-nucleotide ribosomal RNA is filed under the name uncultured bacterium. RNAcentral describes it as "partial 16S ribosomal RNA". It matches the Rfam family "Bacterial small subunit ribosomal RNA", at positions 524 to 776 of the family's 1533-position model. The record is from RNAcentral.
UACAGAGGGUGCAAGCGUUAAUCGGAAUUACUGGGCGUAAAGCGUGCGUAGUCGGUUAUCUAAGUCGGAUGUGAAAUCCCCGGGCUCAACCUGGGAACUGCAUUUGAAACUACGGGGCUAGAGUGUGUCAGAGGGGGGUGGAAUUCCACGUGUAGCAGUGAAAUGCGUAGAGAUGUGGAGGAACACCAAUGGCGAAGGCAGCCCCCUGGGAUGACACUGACGCUCAUGCACGAAAGCGUGGGGAGCAAACAGG